RNAcentral lists this ribosomal RNA (487 nucleotides) under uncultured bacterium. RNAcentral describes it as "bacterial SSU rRNA". It matches the Rfam family "Bacterial small subunit ribosomal RNA", at positions 28 to 507 of the family's 1533-position model. The record is from RNAcentral.
GAUGAACGCUAGCGACAGGCUUAACACAUGCAAGUCGAGGGCAGCGGGUUGUAGCAAUACGACUGCCGGCGACCGGCGCACGGGUGCGUGACACGUGUGCAACCUGCCCGUCACCGGGGGAUAACCCGCGGAAACGCGGCCUAAUACCCCAUAAUAUAAUAUUAUCGCAUGAUGAUUUUAUUAAAACUCCGGUGGUGACGGAUGGGCACGCGGGACAUUAGCUAGUUGGCGGGGUAACGGCCCACCAAGGCGACGAUGUCGAGGGGUUCCGGGAGGAAGGUCCCCCACACUGGUACUGAGACACGGACCAGACUCCUACGGGAGGCAGCAGUGAGGAAUAUUGGUCAAUGGUCGAGAGACUGAACCAGCCAAGUCGCGUGAGGGACGACGAUUCUAUGGAUUGUAAACCUCUUUUGUUAGGGACGAAUAAGUUGUACGUGUACGAGUGAUGCCUGUACCUAACGAAUAAGCAUCGGCUAACUCCGUG